GCAGCAGCCACGGUAAUACAGAGGGUGCGAGCGUUAAUCGGAUUUACUGGGCGUAAAGCGUGCGUAGGCGGCUUUUUAAGUCGGAUGUGAAAUCCCUGAGCUUAACUUAGGAAUUGCAUUCGAUACUGGGAAGCUAGAGUAUGGGAGAGGAUGGUAGAAUUCCAGGUGUAGCGGUGAAAUGCGUAGAGAUCUGGAGGAAUACCGAUGGCGAAGGCAGCCAUCUGGCCUAAUACUGACGCUGAGGUACGAAAGCAUGGGGAGCAAACAGGAUUAGAUACCCCUGUAGUCCCUGUCUCUUAUAC
This 302-nucleotide ribosomal RNA is filed under the name uncultured bacterium. RNAcentral describes it as "partial 16S ribosomal RNA". It matches the Rfam family "Bacterial small subunit ribosomal RNA", at positions 508 to 807 of the family's 1533-position model. The record is from RNAcentral.